Molecule: long non-coding RNA, 719 nt
Filed under: Capsicum annuum
Lineage: Eukaryota; Viridiplantae; Streptophyta; Magnoliopsida; Solanales; Solanaceae
Description: long non-coding RNA (CANN_LNC000234)
Source: RNAcentral
GAAAAUUCUAUAAUAUUUUUCACUAUUUUUAGACUUUUGAGCAUUAAAUCAUAUAUCCUUCAAUGGCCUCUACAAAAUUUUCCCUUCAAUCUGUUUUGCUACUUUGCUUGAUUUUGUUUUCCCUACUGGCAUUUCAUCAUUGUAUGUAUAUCUAUUCCUUUUAUAUUUAAUUUUUUUAUUAUUAUUAAAAUUAAAAAAAUAAUAGUAAUGGAACAAUAUUGGAAUAGACUUAUGUAUAGCUAUCAAUUGAAAAAGGUAACAUGUCUUAUUUUUAGUGUUAAUUUCACUUUUUAUGUAUAGCUAUCUAUCCUUAUCGUUUAGUUGAUUUGAGAAUAUUAAUUUUUAAAUUUUAUAUCAUCAGUAUAUAGACAUGAGAUUCUAUAUAUUUUUAUAUUUCAAUUUCAUAAAAUGCAGGUGAUGCAAGUAGAAACAUUAAAACUAAAAGUGAUGCUUGCCUCCAAAUUCCGGAUAAGCCAGGCCAAUGGUGUUGUGUAAUAUUAUUUCAACCUGAAAAAUGUUUUCCUUCUAUUGAUGCGUGUGAAGCAAUAUGUCAGAAGUGACAGAUUUUAAGAGCAAUGAUGUCAAUUAAUUCUAGGACGUAUUAUGAUUUAUUUCAAUAAGUACUUAUGAGUUUGAGUUUUAUAGUGCUAUUUAACUUGAUGUAAAAGUGAAAUAAAAAAAAUUGGCAUUUUCAUUUAUAAAAUUCAAUUAGAAUUAUC